CUUCUAACUCCGCCUGUAGUCCCUCCGUGGGUUACUGCCGGUCCCAAGCCCGGAUAAAGGAGGAGGGUUAAG
Molecule: non-coding RNA, 72 nt
Organism: Schistosoma mansoni
Lineage: Eukaryota; Metazoa; Platyhelminthes; Trematoda; Strigeidida; Schistosomatidae
Source: Rfam